UACGUAGGGUGCGAGCGUUAAUCGGAAUUACUGGGCGUAAAGCGUGCGCAGGCGGUUUUGUAAGCCAGAUGUGAAAUCCCCGGGCUUAACCUGGGAAUGGCAUUUGGGACUGCAAGGCUCGAGUGCGGCAGAGGAGACUGGAAUUCCUGGUGUAGCAGUGAAAUGCGCAGAUAUCAGGAGGAACACCGGUGGCGAAGGCGGGUCUCUGGGCCGACAUUGACGCUGAGGAGCGAAAGCGUGGGGAGCGAACAGG
RNAcentral lists this ribosomal RNA (253 nucleotides) under uncultured bacterium. RNAcentral's name for it is "partial 16S ribosomal RNA". It matches the Rfam family "Bacterial small subunit ribosomal RNA", at positions 524 to 776 of the family's 1533-position model. The record is from RNAcentral.